GAUGAACGCUGGCGGCGUGCUUAACACAUGCAAGUCGAACGAAGCUACUAUUUACGAUCCCUUCGGGGUGACGAGAUGUAGACUUAGUGGCGGACGGGUGAGUAACGCGUGGGUAACCUGCCGUAUGCAGGGGGACAACAGUUGGAAACGACUGCUAAUACCGCAUAAGCGCACGGUAUCGCAUGGUACAGUGUGAAAAGAUUUAUCGGCAUACGAUGGACCCGCGUCUGAUUAGCUAGUUGGUGAGGUAACGGCCCACCAAGGCGACGAUCAGUAGCCGACCUGAGAGGGUGACCGGCCACAUUGGGACUGAGACACGGCCCAAACUCC
RNAcentral lists this ribosomal RNA (330 nucleotides) under uncultured Lachnospiraceae bacterium. Its description in RNAcentral is "bacterial SSU rRNA". It matches the Rfam family "Bacterial small subunit ribosomal RNA", at positions 28 to 339 of the family's 1533-position model. The record is from RNAcentral. Lineage: Bacteria; Bacillati; Bacillota; Clostridia; Lachnospirales; Lachnospiraceae.